GAUUAACGCUGGCGGCAUGCCUAUACAUGCAAGUCGAACGAAAGUAGCAUACUUUAGUGGCGAACGGGUGAGUAACACGUAUCUAACCUACCAUUUAGUGGGGAAUAACUGUUGGAAACGACAGCUAAUACCGCAUAUGUUAUUUAUUUGCAAUGAUAAAUAAUGAAAGGAGCAUUUGCUUCGUUAAUUGAUGGGGAUGCGGCGCAUUAACUAGUUGGUAAGGUAAUGGCUUACCAAGGUAACUAUGCGUAGCCGAUCUGAUAGGAUGAACGGCCACAUUGGGACUGAGACACGGCCCAAACUUCUACGAAGGCAGCAGUAGGGAAUUUUUCACAAUGGGCGAAAGCCUGAUGGAGCAAUGCCGCGUGACUGAUGAAGGUC
RNAcentral lists this ribosomal RNA (381 nucleotides) under uncultured Entomoplasmatales bacterium. Its description in RNAcentral is "bacterial SSU rRNA". It matches the Rfam family "Bacterial small subunit ribosomal RNA", at positions 28 to 416 of the family's 1533-position model. Lineage: Bacteria; Bacillati; Mycoplasmatota; Mollicutes; Entomoplasmatales. The record is from RNAcentral.